AGGUGUGAAGGAGAUCUGGCUGUGACAUCUGUCACCCCUCUCAUGGCCAGGGUUGAUUUGGAUGAUCAGGCUGGGUAGGCAGGUACUGUCUUUCUCCCUCACUGCUCUAUGAGUAUCUCUUCUGAAGCUUCACGCUGGGGAGAGAGGACCAUGUUUGGGCCAAGGGUAUAGAGUACUUGCUAGACCCUCCAAACAAGCUCACAAGGACCACAGUGUGAAUCCGUUGUCUUUGGUUAUGAAACCACAGCCAACACAAUAUCUGAGAGUGCUGACUGU
This 276-nucleotide small nuclear RNA is filed under the name Fukomys damarensis (Damara mole-rat). RNAcentral describes it as "7SK RNA". It matches the Rfam family "7SK RNA". Rfam says of the family: 7SK was discovered as an abundant small nuclear RNA in the mid-70s but a possible function has only recently been suggested. The record is from Rfam by way of RNAcentral. Lineage: Eukaryota; Metazoa; Chordata; Mammalia; Rodentia; Bathyergidae.